Molecule: non-coding RNA, 72 nt
Organism: Dipodomys ordii (Ord's kangaroo rat)
Lineage: Eukaryota; Metazoa; Chordata; Mammalia; Rodentia; Heteromyidae
Source: Rfam
GGGGGUGUAGUUCAGUAGUAGAUCGCAUGCUUAGCACGCAUGAGGCCCUGGGUUCGAUCCCCAGCACCUCCA